UCAGUGCUUCUCCGGCAGCGAGGCGUGGCGGAGCCCCAUCCUCCUCCUAAGAAGCCUCUCCCCGCCACCGUACCUUCCUCGCCCGACGCCUUGAAGCAUGUGCCGGCGGGGGUGAAUUAUCAAGGUUCGCGUGUGUUCCCUUACAACGUUACCACCGGGACGGGUUAGCGCCAGGAAACUGCGCUCCGGGGAGGGCUGCAAGGUCGCCUGCUGGGAGACUGUUAAUUGUAUUUUGUUUUCCCUCCCCGGAGCGCGCAAGUAAAUCAUCGGUUGUUCGACGCAGCUGUUGUGCCAUCACUCCUGCCUGCGAGGCUUGGGCAGACGCCGACGUGAACCCCGUGACGACUGGGAGUUGUUGGGGCUGAGGACUGGCUGCCCCUUGUCAGCAGUUUUACUUAGAAGCUUGUGGUUAAUAAAUUAAGAACCUGUGUGUGUGUAUGUAUGUGUGUGUGUGUGUGUGUUUGUGUGUGUGUGUGUUCGCAUUCGAGAAAAUACAAAUCACACCUUGCAUGUUUUAUAGUACAAAUCAAUGGCCUCUGCACUACUAACACAACAUUGUCCCCUAAUCAGGAGAAAAAAUAGCCUGGCCCAUAAUUUAGGAGAUAUUUAUUAAUGUGGCGGUGAGUGGCAGCGGCAUCUCCUGGGCUGAGGAAAGGGAUGGUGGAAGCAGGAGGUGGUGGACACAGGGGGGGGGGGGAGGGAGCGGAUGGGGAGGAGCUGGGAGGAGGUAAGCGGGAAUUGCCUCGAGCACGGACAUAGGCAGCCACGAGGCACACGAAUACUUGACUUCUUAACACUUCUUCAUUCAUAUAUAAAGCACAGCCUGGCUCUUUUGCCAUCAAUGUGAAGUAAAGUAAAAGAAUGAGGUAACUAUGAUCAUGUGAAGCUGAGACGCCGUUCGAACAAAGAGUCGGACGGCUGAGGCGAGACGAGAGGCGGAAGGGGCAGCGCUGCGGGAGGCACGGUCAGGUGUCACUCUGCUCGCCACUCCGCUCACUUGUCUCUGUGGCGUCCUUGUGCCCUCCGGUGUCUUGCGCGGGUGGCCACCGGCUCACUGCGUCGCUGCGUGAAAGUAAGGCAAUGGUGGUGAUCGUAGUGUUUGAUAUUGUGGUGCCGAGCAAGGAGACGCAAGCCAUCCGUCCUUGGGUCCAGUCAUCGCUCAUCGGUACAGCCGCCUGCCGCAUUCGACGCCCCGCCUCAACCUCGCGCAGACUGACAACGUUUGCAGCGGUGACGGGAGUGACUUGGCUCCUGAAUGUUUUGAGAGUCGCCGUUAAAGCUGCGCCGCCCACCGCCCUGCCCGGCUUGCGACGCGCCCACCCGCCCACCACCCGCCCACGAAAACCACGGCGCUGGGAGCCUUACCUUAUUAUGCACCCACGUCACCACACCCAUGGACCGUCAUCACUACUACCACCACCACCACGAAAAACUGCUUCUGACCUAAUCUAACCCAGCUUAACCUAACCUAACCACCCACGAAAACCACGUCUCUGGAACCCUUAUCAUGCACCACCACCAUCACCACCACCACCACCACCACCACUACCACCACCACCGCCUCCACCACCACAACCUUGCGUCUCCUUACCUAACUUAACUCUAGUCUAACUUAACCACCCACACAAAACAUGGCUCUAGAAACCUUGCCCUACCAUGCACCACCACCACCACUACCACCUACACCACCACAACCAUGUACCACCAUCGCCACCACCACCACCACCACCACAACAACACGCUAUUAACCUAACCUAUGUAACCUCCUACGAAAAUUACGGUGCUGGAAACCUUGCCCUA
This is a long non-coding RNA of Eriocheir sinensis (Chinese mitten crab), 1800 nucleotides long. RefSeq lists it as uncharacterized. The transcript is spliced from 5 exons. The record is from RefSeq and is a predicted model, not a curated record. Lineage: Eukaryota; Metazoa; Arthropoda; Malacostraca; Decapoda; Varunidae.